RNAcentral lists this ribosomal RNA (259 nucleotides) under uncultured bacterium. Its description in RNAcentral is "partial 16S ribosomal RNA". It matches the Rfam family "Bacterial small subunit ribosomal RNA", at positions 96 to 354 of the family's 1533-position model. The record is from RNAcentral.
UGGCGGACGGGUGAGUAACGCGUGGAAAACCUGCCGUAUACUGGGGGAUAACACUUAGAAAUAGGUGCUAAUACCGCAUAAGCGCACAGCUUCGCAUGAAGCGGUGUGAAAAACUCUGGUGGUAUACGAUGGUUCCGCGUCUGAUUAGCUAGUUGGUGGGGUAAUGGCCUACCAAGGCAACGAUCAGUAGCCGGCCUGAGAGGGUGUAACGGCCACAUUGGGACUGAGACACGGCCCAAACUCCUACGGAAGGCAGCAG